CCUACGGGAGGCAGCAGUGAGGAAUAUUGGUCAAUGGACGAGAGUCUGAACCAGCCAAGUAGCGUGAAGGAUGACUGCCCUAUGGGUUGUAAACUUCUUUUAUAUGGGAAUAAAACGUUCCACGUGUGGGAUUUUGUAUGUACCAUAUGAAUAAGGAUCGGCUAACUCCGUGCCAGCAGCCGCGGUAAUACGGAGGAUCCGAGCGUUAUCCGGAUUUAUUGGGUUUAAAGGGAGCGUAGGUGGAUUGUUAAGUCAGUUGUGAAAGUUUGCGGCUCAACCGUAAAAUUGCAGUUGAAACUGGCAGUCUUGAGUACAGUAGAGGUGGGCGGAAUUCGUGGUGUAGCGGUGAAAUGCUUAGAUAUCACGAAGAACUCCGAUUGCGAAGGCAGUUCACUGGACUGCAACUGACACUGAGGCUCGAAAGUGUGGGUAUCAAACAGGAUCAGAUACCCCUGUAGUC
This 460-nucleotide ribosomal RNA is filed under the name uncultured bacterium. RNAcentral describes it as "partial 16S ribosomal RNA". It matches the Rfam family "Bacterial small subunit ribosomal RNA", at positions 338 to 795 of the family's 1533-position model. The record is from RNAcentral.